GAGACACGAUACAAGCAAGGGAAUGAUAAUCAAAUAGUAGGAUGAAGGACACGAUCAACAAAUUCUUUACGACCAAAUUAAAAAAAUGACAUGGAGCGACACUAUUUCUCAUUUAAAAGUAUCACAUUUUUAUUGAUUAUAUAUCUUUAUGGUUCAUGAUAAGAUUCACUUCACAAUUUGAAAAAUGUUUCUUUAUAUUCAAGAUUUUAAAUCUCAAUGACGAUGGUGGUUGAGGUUAUCAAGAAAUGGCAUCAAUAUGAGAUAUAAUAUCUUAAAAUUGUUAGAGCACAAACAAUCCUUUAGAUUUUCUGUCCUGAGGAACAAGAACUAGAAACUUAAAGAAAUGACAAUGCAUCAACCAAUACCUUCAAGAUAAAAUAUAGACUAAAUAUGUAUCAUUGUGAAUCUACAAAUGCUAACAUCUACAAAAUUAAGGUAUUAUAUAAGAAUACUAUAUCAAUCAUAUCUGAUUUUCGGGCUGUGAAAAGAACUCCUUUGCUUUAUGAGCUACCUCUGCUUCCAAAAUUGCUUCUUGAACUAUGUCAGAUCCUUUCACAUCAGCUCCUAAUACAACCAAAGCUUGUUUCAAUUCAGAUAUCAUUCUAGAGCAAAUAAAAAACGCUGCAUAAAAAUCACUAUAACAUAGUAUGCGAUGCAGAUAACAGACAAUCAUGAUUAAGUUAUUAUUACCACCACGAUUUGGUAAGAGUCCAGUACUUUCAGCGGAAACUGGCAUGACAAUAAGCUGCAGACCAUCUUUAAUCUUCUCAACUUCAGCACUACUUGCCAAUGAACCAUUCUUGAUGGAAGGGGCCUCGGCCAACCUGGCAUAAGUAGUUGCUUUGCAUUGGAUGGCAAUGGAGUUGAAUUCUAUAAAUAAUUAGACGUGUAAGAAAACACGCUCCCUAGAGGAGUCCAUUCUAUAGAAUUAUUAUUAUUAGUUUCUGUAUGUGGUCAAUAAACCUUGGUAAGAGACGAUAUUGAGAGAUUCACUCCAGCACCUUCCGGUAUCCUAUUGUUUGCAUAUCCACCUACAGCCGAUAACACGGUUAUACAAAAUAUCGGCAUCAAUACAUUUCGAUUAAAUCGCGCAUCAAUGUAAACAAUACCAUUUAAGAUGGAUGGCUGGUCGAGAUUAUCAAGCCUCCGAGUUAAAGGGCCAGGAUUUAUAAAUGAUAGACUUCGAACUUCAUGUUGAAUAGCAUUUACUUCUGCCAUCAUAUCCCGAAGUUCAUUAUGAAGCUAAAAGGCAGAAUAGAAUAUAUGAUUAACUAGAUUGCAAUUUUCAAUUUUCUUACAAUGCAACGAUGAGUUUACGAGUUUUAAUAUGGACAGUGAUAUCCAUAUGAAUCAUAAGUUUGAUAAAAGAAAGGGAGAGUACCUGGCGAGCUUGAGAUUGCUGUAUAACAGAUCCAAGGUGUCCCCGGGCCAAUUGUACAUAUGCAAUAGCCCGGCCAGCCAUCCUCCCAGCUGUUCUGGAGAUCCAAGGUGUCCCCGGGCCAAUUGUACAUAUGCAAUAGCCCGGCCAGCCAUCCUCCCAGCUGUUCUGGUUAUGAUUGGCAAAUCCUUUGGACCUAUUGCACAUUGAUUUUCCGGUUAAACAAUUUUGAUCUAUUGGUACGAAAAUUUCAAUAUGAUAAAGAUAAGUAAGAAUAGCAUGAACCAAACCAAGCAGAGCCGCAGUGGCUCCCAGCAAUAAGAAUAUUUCUCCCUAUGAAAAUCCCAGCAUUGUUGAGUCUUGUUGUGUGAGAUUUCUACUGGAGUAGGGUUAAGAAACGAAGGUUGAGAAUUGAAUGAAAGCUUGAAACCUAAAAAGGUAAAUUGAAAUUAACAGAAUACCUGUGCCGUCAAUUGAAGGGCUUUAACGCGAAAUCGGGAAUCGUGAUGCGCCGGAAGUUAAUCGCCGGUAAAUUGCUUUUUUAUUGCGACAAUAAAUAACUCUGGCAGCUAUUUCAACCGGUUUGCUUACGAGAAAAAGAGAAAACGGCGACUAUUUCAACCGGUUUGCUUACGAGACUAAGAAAAAGAGAAAAAGUUAAGUAUGAUAUAGUAACGAGACUAAGAAAAAGAGAAAACGGCAGCUAUUUUCAAGGGUUUGCUUACGAGACUAAGAAAAAGAGAAAAAGUUAAGUGUGAUAUAGUAACGAGACUAAGAAAAAGAGAAAACGGCAGCUAUUUCAAGGGUUUGCUUACGAGACUAAGAAAAAGAGAAAAAGUUAAGUGUGAUAUAGUAUCGAGACUAAGAAAAAGAGAAAAAGGCAGCUAUUUCAAGGGUUUGCUUACGAGACUAAGAAAAAGAGAAAAAGUUAAGUGUGAUAUAGUAAAAGAAAUAAAAAGUAAACAAACACACUUGGUGGGACUCGAACCCAGAAUCGCUUGAUUAGAGUUUAAAUUGUGCUAUGCAUGCAAAUUUAUUUUCACACUUGGUUCUCAAUCGAAGAAAAAUUGGAGAAAAACAACAAUGAGUUCACCCCAAAUUUGUUAUGGAUACAUUUGUUCUUACAUAUUCUGCGGUUAUUCGUGGUUACAUGAACGUCGGGAGGAAUAAUGAUCCAUUUCCUGAUUUUAAAAGAUAAAUGAAUUGCAACAAAAAAAAUAAUUGCAUAAAGCAAAGAAAAAAAUGGCAAUUAUAAUCUCUUCAUAUCUCAUGUGAUAGUAAUUUAUUCGUAUGGUGGAGGGGUCCAAUGUUCAACCAUAGGAUGAACUUAAAAGAUUUAUCUUUAAGAAAAAUUUGAUUUUUUUUUAUGUUGGUAUUGGUUAAAAAAUUUAAAUAAAAAAAUAUUUAUGUUCAAUGUAUUAAAUAUAUAUAAUAUUUUAUAAAAAAUUUAAUUAUUUAUAGUUUUAGUGAAUUGAAUACAUUUGAUUUUUUUUUAUGUUGGUAUUGGUUAAAAAAUUUAAAUAAAAAAAUAUUUAUGUUCAAUGUAUUAAAUAUAUAUAAUAUUUUAUAAAAAAUUUAAUUAUUUAUAGUUUUAGUGAAUUGAAUACAAAUAAUUUUAAAAAAUUUAUCUUUUUAGUUUUUAAAAUAAUGAUUAACUUAUCUUUUUAAUUUCUUAAAAAAGUGUUCCUACAUUAGUUAGCAUUUCUUUUAAUGUUUGAUAAAAUAACACUGUUAUUAAAAUAUUUUAUAAUGCACCUAGUAAAACCUUUAAAUCAUUUAAAGAAACUUUUAUAGUCAUUUUUUCAUUUCUCCUUUUUUUAGAUGACAAGCCUUGAUCCAAAUUGCAUUGAUCCAAACUUGCAAGCAAGGUAUUUCUUGAAGCAUCAAAAUCAGAGUUACUUAGAGAGCAAACUAAUUCCUAAUCAGAAAAAUUACUGUCUUUUCAUCACGUUUUCUUCUAUGAAUUCAAUGAUCCCACACAACCACCAAGUCCAAAACCUACCACUUCUUUCCCUUCCACAACUCAACAUGCAUAUUUUCCUUUAAAGCCUACAAUCAUCAUUCAUCAUAAAAAGAUUGGAUUUUUAAUGGGUGGCCAACAAAAGAAGAUUAUGGAUUUCAAAGUUUCUCAUAAGUCUGUAGGGUUUGACCUUAUGCAGAACUGUGAUCUUCCUCCACCUUCCAAGGUUUUUUUGGGUUCAGAUAAAACGGUGAUAUUAUCUAUGCAUAAGGUCUGUAAUAUUUCAGGUAGAGAAAAAGGACGAGAUAGCAUACACCAGCUCGAAAAUGAUGAUGACGAAAAGGAUAAAAGAGAGCUUCUUAAGGCGCUGAAAGCAUCUCAAAUACGCGCUAGAGAGGCAGAAAAGAUGGCGGCUAUCCUAAACAAAGUGUGGACAAAAUACAUCAAGCAUGGUUAUGAACAUAUUAAAAUACAUGCAAAUGAAUCUCAAUUCAAAAAAAUAACAUUGCUAGGGCACCACCUUUUUCAUCUUGAUUUAUGACUUAAAUUAUGAAUUAUUUAACAUCUAUCAACUUAGGUUUUUCUCCUAUGUACUAUCUCUUUUCCUGCUUUUAAGGAGUAAAAUCGCCUUUCUUAAUAACCAGAGACACGAUACAAGCAAGGAAUGAUAAUCAAAUAGUAGGAUGAAGGACACGAUCAACAAAUUCUUUAGACAAAUUAAAAAAAUGACAUGGAGCGACACUAUUUCUCAUUUAAAAGUAUCACAUUUUUAUUGAUUAUAUAUCUUUAUGGUUCAUGAUAAGAUUCACUUCACAAUUUGAAAAAUGUUCUUUAUAUUCAAGAUUUUAAAUCUCAAUGACGAUGGUGGUUGAGGUUAUCAAGAAAUGGCAUCAUAUGAGAUAUAAUAUCUUAAAAUUGUUAGAGCACAAACAAUCCUUUAGAUUUUCUGUCCU
Molecule: long non-coding RNA, 4291 nt
Filed under: Lathyrus oleraceus (garden pea)
Lineage: Eukaryota; Viridiplantae; Streptophyta; Magnoliopsida; Fabales; Fabaceae
Description: Pisum sativum (pea) long non-coding RNA (PSAT_LNC010529)
Source: RNAcentral